This is a long non-coding RNA of Fukomys damarensis (Damara mole-rat), 4144 nucleotides long. RefSeq lists it as uncharacterized. The transcript is spliced from 3 exons. The record is from RefSeq and is a predicted model, not a curated record. Lineage: Eukaryota; Metazoa; Chordata; Mammalia; Rodentia; Bathyergidae.
UGUGCACUCACCCAGCCAGGGACCUGAGAUUUCUUCUGAGCCAAAAACAAUCUGCAUUGUGUCAGUCUCUUUUUAGGGAGGCCCUAGGACUCCAUUGCUGUACAAAUCUGUGUCUCCUGCUGGUAGAAGUAUCUUGAGAGCAGGAUCUGUAAGUUCAGGCUUCUGGCUGAUCUUGAACUCAUAGGAAUCUUUCUGCCUCUGCCUCCAGAGUGCUGGGAUUACAAGCGUGCACCACCAUGUUCGAGUAGCAUCUUUAAGGAUAACAGAAAGGAAAGGCGGAGGUGAGAUGCACGGGGACGCUGCACAGCUCAACACUCGCAUCUAACAGCCAGAAAAUCGGAAGAGCACCGUCGUCGUAGAAAUAUCCAUCUUUUCCACGAGGAUUCUACCCAAGAAUGUAAAGUGGAAGGCUGGGGGAGCCAAACGGAAUGAAGGAGAAAACUCUGAAGUGUACUAGAAAAGGACAAAUUAGAUCCUGAGAAUGGCCUGGCCAGGUUAGGAAGCCUUCCUAGUCCCAACCUGGCAACCAUAGUAACAUCAGCCGGAAGUAGUAGCAUUACAGGAAGAAAGCUGCUGCCUGAAUCUCAGGAUUGGCAGGCUCUUGGCCUAGGCCUUAGAGCUCAGUGAGGUAGCUGACCAUCACCUACCCUAUUUUUCCUGGGACUUUGCUUCCCAGUACACUUGUGUGUUGCAAGGGAUGGGAUGUACAUGACCUGCUGCUCUACUGCAAUACCCUCCCCAUGUUUGAGACCUGUACCAAUCCUCUGGACUAUCUGCUUCCAACCACAGAAGCGUUUGAACAGGCUUCUCAAGUGGCACAAUCAUGGAAGACUGAAAUUAAGGGCAGCGGACUAAUCUGGUGGAAGAAAUUUCAAGGUAGCCUAAUUCAUGUCUUCCUGUCAUGAGUCACUCUACCCACGAGUUUGAGUAGGCCACCAUUAGAGCCUUUCUAUUGUCAGGGAUGUUCUCCAAGCUAAUUUCGCUGCCCUUGGUUAAGCAGGGAACAUCUGGGGAAGUCAUGCCUCUCCCUGGUGCCCUACCUAUAUCUGAGCAAUGAAGAGAGGCACUUAUAGCCUCCUGAAUUACUUUACCUUUGUGAUGACCAUGAACAGAUUGCUUCUUGGUUUUAAACUCUUCCAACCUGUAUUACCCUAAUGUGCCUCCAUUAUUCUAGCAACUCUUCUUCACAAGAACCAUCUGGCAUAAUGGUGGUUUGAGAAGACAGAAACACUCAGUGCGGGGAUUCUCUAAGCUUCGCAAACCUGUUACAGCCAUGGCUGUCCUGGUAUUCUUUGCACUGUGCUUGCAUGCAGCACUACUUACAGAAACCAGCAUCCUCAGCUCUGCUCAGGAUUCCAGGUCUCCUGCCUUCUCAAGAUGUGCCUGCAGCGGUCACUCCUCUCUCUUGACCUAUCAACUGCUUCCUCUGCCAUAGAGCAUUCCAUAAAGGAAGGGAGGAAAACUCACCCUCUUUCCACAUGUUUCAGCAGUGACUGGCAUCUUCUCUGCUUAACAGAGCUUCUCUCCCCAUCACCCCGAUGAAACAGUCAUGUCAGUGUCACCAGUUAUUUUCUCCUUGCUGGGACAAAAUGCCUGACAUGUAUAAGUUAAAGGAGGAAAGGUUCAUUUUAGCUCACAGUUUGUAGAGGUUUUAGUCCAUAGUUGUCUGAUUCCAAGGCAGGAAAGCAUGGCAAAGGGUCAUAGUAGAGAAUAAAUAAUCUAUAGGGUAACAGGAGGCAAUGAAUCUUCAUCUUCCUUUCCCUUUUCAUUCCAUCCAGGCUGCAAGCCUAUUGGUUGGUGCCACCCACCCCCAGAGUUGGUCUUCACUCUUCAGUAAAACCAUCACAGAGAGAACUAUGUUAAAUGAAUCAGAGGACUGAUCCGGUACCACACGUCCAUAAUCCAGUAUCACACACUAAUGAUCCAGUCACUCAGAAAGCCCCACUUAUGAGCGCAUGAGGCUUUGGUGGGACGUCUAGAUAUAAGCCAUAGCAACCAAAAAGACCUAUAUUGCCUAAGCAAGGUAUACUUCUCUAUAAACAUUGAGAAAAGUUUUUGUACAUAUUUGGCACAUUUAGCCAUUCCUUUUAGAAUGUAAUAUUUGAGAUGUGUAUGUUGUGAGAACACAUUCUCCUGUAAUUCCCAAGGAUGACCUGGGUAUAAUAAUUCAUUUCUUGGGUCAACAUGAAAUGCAAGCCAGAUAAAGUGUUCUUUUUGCAAACUCCACGGAUUGAAGGACCUCAGAGACAGUGGCCAACAGUCAGACAUCUCAAAUGAAGCAAGCUAGUCAGUGAAGAGGACAGUGAUCUACAGUACAAAAAGAUCUUACUCCUUCCCCCACACAUACUGGGGCUCAUGGAAAUUCACUUCCCAAAACAACCUGGUUAGCCUCCUUGGAUAGUUGGAUAGCUGAAGUUUAGGGACUUAACUUUUUGUAGCUUGUCUUGAUUUCCUGCUGUGUUGUAGGUGAGGCUCCAGUGUGAUGAAUUCCCUGAGGGGGAAUGUUGAAAGUGGCUGAUGGAGGGGGCAGAGAAGGUACCUGGAAGAAAGCCUAACCUGGGCCUAGGUGAUCCUGCAGCCAAGGCUGUGGAAUUCAUAUCCUUAGGGGCAGGACAGACAAUGACACCCAGAUUCAGAGGGAUCUGCACGUGCAAGCACAGUUGCACUGAGGGUGAGCAGCCAGGGAACACCAGGUCCUGACAAGGAUGAGUAGGACAAAAACGCAAGUUACUUCAACUAUAGGCAUGGGGGAGCAAGUCUGAUCAAUAACAGGACAUGGGAGACAAAAGUAGUCAUCUUGCCCUCAGGAGUGACCAGGAACACUGUGAACAACAUAUGAAUGGUAGAGGCCCUAUCCUCCAUCACUACAGACACUAGAUAUCCUCUUAGAGUUCUUUACUAUCUUGGAAAGUAGUAGUGAGCUGCAGUGGGAAUGUGAGAGACUGAAAAUGUUCACCAAAACAUACUGAGCACUUAUCUGAAUGGGCUAUUCACAUAAUCGCACUAGAUGACACAAAAUUGGACAUUAAUCUAGUGUUGCAUCUCCUUACUGUCCGGGACACAGGAAUUGUACCAGUUAGAGAAAGUCAGUGAACUCAUAUUCCUGUGGGCUCACGAGAAUGUAUGGUCUCUGCACACCAUCUCCUUCAGCUCCCAUCAGCUACUGCCUUUCCCUUCUGUCCUAUCAUACCUGUGAACAAAGAAAUGGAGCAUCCUUGCCUCCCCUUAGCCUUUAAGCCAGGACAAUUUUACACAGCGCCCAGUGACCUGCCAAAUACAGCACAAAAAGCAGAGAGACAAGAAGACAAUCACAGCAGAGCAACUGAUGAGAUUUGGCCUGAGGUGAGCAGGGCUUCCCUGAUCCAUGUCAUUGCCCUCCCCAAGAGAUACUGGGUCCCUUUGACCUUUACCAACAAACCCUAUGUCCAGGCCUGAGACCUAGAGCUUGGGCUCAGAAAAUUCCUGCAGAGCCAGGAAAUUAUACCUGGAAGAAAUGCAGAAAACCAAUGUUUCUUACUCAAAGAAGUAUUUUUGUAAAAAAUAAAGAUUCUAUAUUUGUAUUAGGGUAAAUAAUGCCAGUUUCCCUCCCAAGGGGUGAAAGGUACCAGUGGGAAUUUCGGAAGUUCCUGAUAUCCAUAAAUAUCUCAGGGUUUUAGCCCAUCACACAAGUUUUUCAGGUAACUUAUUCCUUUUUUCUAGACCAGUGAUGGUGAACAUUUUAGAGCUUUCAGUGAUACAAAUGACCCUGUGUAGCACAUGUGCCAUAGAUUCGCCAUGUACCUAGCAUGGCCCUUUGUCCUGAAGGAGGACCAGUGACUUUCCUACUCAGGAGCAUAUUUUGACCUUUCAAAUAGAGCUGUCUUUGGUCUCUCUUUGGCCCUUUGAAUGUGUUAUACUUCCAGGUGACCCAUUUUGCAAUAGGAGCAAUGGGAAACAAUAGACACCAAGUCAAUAACAUCCUAACUUUCUGUGCAGCUCUGUGAUUUAGAAUGCAUUUGUAGACAGUUUUCGGCCUCAUUUGGUGGUAGUAUAUAGUCAUAUUAUCUGGCCCACCAGAAGAUGGGCUCUUCCAAGAUGGUAGGAACUCUGAGAACCAAGAGUGUCAGGCCAGGUGUGGUGGCUCACGCCUGUAAUCCCAGCACUU